CCUACGGGCGGCAGCAGUGGGGAAUAUUGGACAAUGGGGGCAACCCUGAUCCAGCCAUGCCGCGUGUGUGAAGAAGGCCCUCGGGUUGUAAAGCACUUUCAGUGAUGAAGAACGCCUGGUGGUUAAUACCCAUCAGGAAAGACAUCACUCACAGCAGAAGCACCGGCUAACUCCGUGCCAGCAGCCGCGGUAAUACGGAGGGUGCGAGCGUUAAUCGGAAUUACUGGGCGUAAAGCGCGCGUAGGUGGCUUGAUAAGCCGGUUGUGAAAGCCCCGGGCUCAACCUGGGAACGGCAUCCGGAACUGUCAAGCUAGAGUGCAGGAGAGGAAGGUAGAAUUCCCGGUGUAGCGGUGAAAUGCGUAGAGAUCGGGAGGAAUACCAGUGGCGAAGGCGGCCUUCUGGACUGACACUGACACUGAGGUGCGAAAGCGUGGGUAGCAAACAGGAUUAGAUACCCCUGUAGUC
Molecule: ribosomal RNA, 465 nt
Filed under: Vreelandella stevensii
Lineage: Bacteria; Pseudomonadati; Pseudomonadota; Gammaproteobacteria; Oceanospirillales; Halomonadaceae
Description: partial 16S ribosomal RNA
Rfam family: Bacterial small subunit ribosomal RNA
Source: RNAcentral